Hylaeus volcanicus is the source of this 2007-nucleotide long non-coding RNA. RefSeq lists it as uncharacterized. Lineage: Eukaryota; Metazoa; Arthropoda; Insecta; Hymenoptera; Colletidae. The transcript is spliced from 3 exons. The record is from RefSeq and is a predicted model, not a curated record.
UAUAACGUAAGAACGUUAAAUACGACGCGAAGGUAAUAAUACUCAAUUAUCCUCGAGAAGCUUAAGGAGGACUGCGCAUGUACUUCCAUCGGUGAUAAAAACGAGUUGCCGAACGGUGCACAAGAAUUCCUGCGCUCAAGGUUACGUAAUGAACGGUGCUUCUCUUCGGGGUCUCCUUCCAGGGACAAUAAAAUUCCGCGCGAGCAAUUAGCCCUGGCAACCGGUGAUUACGUCGAGAAAUACACAGGGUGGGUCGUAACACGUGGCCGAACGGAGACGUCAAAAUAGGAAAGAAAGUUCAGUGGCAUGUAUAAGAGCACGGGUACUGUGACCAGUAUCAAGAUCAUGGACAGCGAAUAUGUUAAUCUUGAAUCGAGCUUGUAUGAAUGAUUCUACCGAACUGUUUGUAUAAGAUGCAUCGUAACUAUUCGAUGCAAUGUUGGAGAUGCUUUGAUGUUUACGAUUCUUUAAUAAAAACUCGACUAUAAUCUCUAAAGAAAACCUAAAUAAUAUAAUAAUGAAAAUUACAGAGGACCUGGGAGAAGAAACGGAUUGAGUCAAAUGGUAGUUGUUUUCAGAUUGUUUUAAUUGGGAUAGGAUCAAAUGGGACACGUAAUUACAAGAACUUUCUCCAUUAGUUUUACGUCGUCCGAUCUAUACCCGGGUCCAACGUGUAACGAUACACUCGGCGGAUCGGAUCGACGUGGAUAAUUUUCGAACUUCCUUGUCCGAGCUAAUUCGAAGCCGAGCGUUGCACGUGGAACUCCUCGGUCGUAACACGAAACUAUAAAUUACCGGAAGAACAAGCCGAGGAACGCCGAACCCACCGCAUCCAGCUGGCAUUCGUGCCGUUUCACUGGACACUCGUCAGCCCUAUCGCUAAUGAAAGGCUGCCCCGAAGGGCUCGCGGGGGCAUAAAGGGCGCGCGUGGGCGGACGCUACACGAAAAGUCAAACGAGAGAUCAAAACGUUGUUGCAACGGAAGAUUUAUCACGCGAUCCAUGGAUUCCUCAACGAUUUCGGCUGACGAAGACAGAGAAUAAUAUAUGGCGUGACCAAGAAGACCUACUAAAAUAUUUGCAAGCCUAGUACUCCUCGCUUUGAAAGUGCGAAAUAGAUUCUAGCAAUCAUGGGUGUACAAAUAUUUUAUUUGGUAAUAAUAUAACCAUUUUGACUGCUUGAUGAUUCUUAAAUGUUUCAGUCAUGUUGGAGGAUAUUAAAAAUUGAAGUAAAGCAUGUGGUUAAUAUUGCAGUUCUGUUUGCUUGUUUUCGGAGAAGAAACAAGAGUGCCCUUGGAUACCGCAAUGAAACUGGCUUGACAGUUAAGAUUCUGCACGGUUUCAUAGUUAAUGUUCGAAGUGGCCUCCACUGGAGGUAGCAUGCAAGUUGAUACGCCUAUCAUGGUCUAUCGCAUGUGCACGACACUUCCGGCUGCCUCCGACGGAAUUGCAUACAUUGAUUGCGUUACCUGUUAUUUAUAAUUCACGUGGGAAGGUCAGAUAAAAAUGUUAUUACGGUUUCUUGGCAUUCGUUUGCAACGGGUCCUUCGAAAUUGCUUAGCGAUAGUAAAAGAUGUGGAGAAUAACAAUUUACCAGGCAGGAUUUUCGAACCACCCUGUACGGAGAUAAAUAUUUCCAUUCCCACAGAAUAAACGUCGCUGGCCCGGUGUAUAUUUUAAUCCAGCGCGGUUUAAUCCGGAUAACGUUUCAACAUGAAUCAAACGAGCGUCGCGAACGAAAUGCGCGAACAAUGCUCCAGACGACGAUGGAAAGAGUGCAUCUUUCCAGCCCUCUCACGCUCAGUCGCUUCUCACAGAGAUGGGAAAAAUUUUUCUUCCAUAGAAAAAAUCUGGAACGAGUGAAAGGUAAACAGCUCUUGCUACGUUCAAUAAAAAUGACUAUCUGAAUUAUAUAAUCGUGUCACGUUUUUGAAACCUUAUCCAAGGAACUGUUUACCUUAGUUUUAUUCGAUAUUUUACGUUUUUAUUGCACCGUAUCUAAACAGUA